Molecule: ribosomal RNA, 198 nt
Filed under: uncultured bacterium
Lineage: Bacteria
Description: partial 16S ribosomal RNA
Rfam family: Bacterial small subunit ribosomal RNA
Source: RNAcentral
ACGCUCGACACCUACGGGAGACAGCAGUGGGGAAUAUUGCACAAUGGGGGAAACCCUGAUGCAGCGACGCCGCGUGGAGGAAGAAGGUCUUCGGAUUGUAAACUCCUGUUGUUGAGGACGAUAAUGACGGUACUCAACAAGGAAGUGACGGCUAACUACGUGCCAACAGCCGCGGUAAUCUGAGCGGGCUGGCAAGGC